Molecule: long non-coding RNA, 199 nt
Filed under: Malus domestica (apple)
Lineage: Eukaryota; Viridiplantae; Streptophyta; Magnoliopsida; Rosales; Rosaceae
Description: long non-coding RNA (MDOM_LNC008832)
Source: RNAcentral
UUUACUCUUGAGUAGGCCCACAAACGAGUAUACACUCACAGUUGGGACCACACUCCGAUGAUCAACAUAAGCAUCCUUUUAAGCGAAGCGUUCAUUUGCAGCUAGGCCCACAAGGAGCAUCUUUCACAUCUCAUUGGAGUAGGCAACACGAUGGAUGGAGAUAGGUAGUCACUUAAUCCAGCUCACGUUCAAACAGUAG